Molecule: long non-coding RNA, 847 nt
Filed under: Ictidomys tridecemlineatus (thirteen-lined ground squirrel)
Lineage: Eukaryota; Metazoa; Chordata; Mammalia; Rodentia; Sciuridae
Description: lncRNA (ENSSTOG00000030335.1)
Source: RNAcentral
GCCUAAAAUUCAACUUUAAAAGAAAAGGAGCUCUUAAAGGGAAACGACUUUGGGCUCACGUAGGCAUAGGAGAAUGAAACUUCUGUACAUUUUAAUCUGAAUAAUUCUUCAGGAUUUAAAAUUAAUUGGCUCUGGCUUGGUUGGGCUGUACUCGGAUCUCGCCGCCUCUGCAUUUCCCGAGUCACUGGUGAAGAGGUGAUGAUUUUUUUUUUUUUGAACUGGGUUUAUGUGCGUCCCCCUCACCCCCUCCUCUCUCUCUCUCUUUUUCUUUCUCUGUCUCUGUCGUCUCUCUCGCUGCCUUUUUAAAAAUGAGGAACCAUUCUCUGAACGUUUUGGACAAGAGCACAGAAUUGCUUCUUAAGUCAGCCCAGCGCGGUUGCAAUAGACAGCAAAAAGGUAAACGUUUGCCUGAAAUCCGCACGCCAGCUCCACCACCCCGCCCGAUGACUCUAUUACAAAAUCAAGAAGACAUGGACUUCUACGACUGGAAGGAAAAUUGAACAUUGGUCCAAAUUCCUGCUGAACCCAGGGUUUUGGAGAUGGACAGAUGAGUGCAGAUGAAGACUGAGAAAUUUCAGGAGUUGCAGAUUUAAGGGUUAAAAAAAUGUAUGGCAUACUUUACCAAGAAUCAAAGAUUGUGCCUGGCAGCAUAAUUGACAGAGAGAAGCUGAGCAAGGAGCCUGUUGCCCAGCACAGAAUCACAGGACAUCAGAUCCAGGUGCACAGAAUACCCGGCACCUCCGCCAGAGACACACAGCCCUCUUCCUGGGGUUGUGGAGGGGGGGGCAGUUGUGGCUUGCACCCGGCCAAGGAUUUUCAGCUCAUGGGUGUUGCCCUGAAGAAGUAA